RNAcentral lists this ribosomal RNA (482 nucleotides) under uncultured bacterium. RNAcentral's name for it is "bacterial SSU rRNA". It matches the Rfam family "Bacterial small subunit ribosomal RNA", at positions 29 to 506 of the family's 1533-position model. The record is from RNAcentral.
UUGAACGCUGGCGGCAUGCUUUACACAUGCAAGUCGAACGGCAGCACGGGGGCAACCCUGGUGGCGAGUGGCGAACGGGUGAGUAAUAUAUCGGAACAUGUCCGGAAGUGGGGGAUAACGUAGCGAAAGUUACGCUAAUACCGCAUAUGCCCUGAGGGGGAAAGGGGGGGAUCGCAAGACCUCUCGCUUUCGGAGUGGCCGAUAUCGGAUUAGCUAGUUGGUGAGGUAAAGGCUCACCAAGGCGACGAUCCGUAGCUGGUCUGAGAGGACGACCAGCCACACUGGGACUGAGACACGGCCCAGACUCCUACGGGAGGCAGCAGUGGGGAAUUUUGGACAAUGGGGGCAACCCUGAUCCAGCCAUGCCGCGUGAGUGAAGAAGGCCUUCGGGUUGUAAAGCUCCUUCAGACGGAAAGAAAUCGUGCAGAUUAACACUCUGGAUGGAUGACGGUACCGGAAGAAGAAGCACCGGCUAACUACGU